UAAAAUAAUGAAAAAAAGGAAUAUGAUGAAAACAAAGGAAAAAAAAAAGUGUCCAUCCUUUCACAUUUUUCUUCCUUGGCCGAAUGUUCUAAGAAGAAGGGGGGGAGAGCUUGAGAAAAUCAGCUAUGGUAGUUUGCUAGACUAAGCUCAAGAAGUUAAAGGAGGAGAAUCAAGCAAAGGCAAAGGAAAGGACAUCGAGUAGCCGAGUUAGAACCGUUUUACCCAACACAAGGUUCCUUUGAUUCAUUUUUGUGUGCUCGGGACCAUCGUCGAAGUCAUCACACCAGCUUGCAACUUUUUGGUAUCUUCUUCCUAGUUGGUCUAAGAGAACAUUUCGGCAUGUAUAGGCUAUUAUGUUUUGUUUGAACUUUGGUAUGUAAAACUUAGGAUAGCCAUGCUAAAAUGGCUUAUAUACGUUUUGAGCAUAAUGUU
This is a long non-coding RNA of Gossypium arboreum, 432 nucleotides long. RefSeq lists it as uncharacterized. The transcript has 3 exons. Lineage: Eukaryota; Viridiplantae; Streptophyta; Magnoliopsida; Malvales; Malvaceae. The record is from RefSeq and is a predicted model, not a curated record.